This 253-nucleotide ribosomal RNA is filed under the name uncultured bacterium. Its description in RNAcentral is "partial 16S ribosomal RNA". It matches the Rfam family "Bacterial small subunit ribosomal RNA", at positions 524 to 776 of the family's 1533-position model. The record is from RNAcentral.
UACAGAGGGGGCAAGCGUUGUUCGGAAUUACUGGGCGUAAAGGGCGCGUAGGUGGCCUUCUAAGUUGAACGUGAAAUCCCUGGGCUCAACCCAGGAACUGCGUCCAAGACUGGGAGGCUUGAAUCCGGGAGAGGGAUGCGGAAUUCCAGGUGUAGCGGUGAAAUUCGUAGAUAUCGGGAGGAACACCAGUGGCGAAGGCGCUGACCUGGACGAUGAUUGACGCUGAGGCGCGAAAGCGUGGGGAGCAAACAGG